RNAcentral lists this ribosomal RNA (468 nucleotides) under uncultured bacterium. RNAcentral's name for it is "partial 16S ribosomal RNA". It matches the Rfam family "Bacterial small subunit ribosomal RNA", at positions 28 to 507 of the family's 1533-position model. The record is from RNAcentral.
GACGAACGCUGGCGGCGUGCUUAACACAUGCAAGUCGAACGGAAAGGCCCUGCGUUUGUGGGGUGCUCGAGUGGCGAACGGGUGAGUAACACGUGAGUAACCUGCCCUUGACUUUGGGAUAACUUCAGGAAACUGGGGCUAAUACCGGAUAGGAGCUCCUGCUGCAUGGUGGGGGUUGGAAAGUUUCGGCGGUCGGGGAUGGACUCGCGGCUUAUCAGCUUGUUGGUGGGGUAGUGGGUUACCAAGGCUUUGACGGGUAGCCGGCCUGAGAGGGUGACCGGCCACAUUGGGCCUGAGAUAAGGAACAGACUCCUACGGGAGGCAGCAGUGAGGAAUAUUGCACAAAGGGGGCAAGCCUGAUGCAGCAACGCCGGGUGCGGGAUGACGGCCUUCGGGUUGUAAACCGCUUUCGCCUGUGACGAAGCGUGAGUGACGGUAAUGGGUAAAGAAGAAACGGCUAACUACGUG